This 505-nucleotide ribosomal RNA is filed under the name uncultured bacterium. RNAcentral describes it as "partial 16S ribosomal RNA". It matches the Rfam family "Bacterial small subunit ribosomal RNA", at positions 28 to 507 of the family's 1533-position model. The record is from RNAcentral.
GACGAACGCUGGCGGCGUGCCUAAUACAUGCAAGUAGAACGCACAGUUUAUACCGUAGCUUGAUACACCAUAGACUGUGAGUUGCGAACGGGUGAGUAACGCGUAGGUAACCUGCCUGGUAGCGGGGGAUAACUAUUGGAAACGAUAGCUAAUACCGCAUAAUAUUGAUUAUUGCAUGAUAAUUGAUUAAAAGAUGCUAUUGCAUCACUACCAGAUGGACCUGCUUUGUAUUAGCUAGUAGGUGAGGUAACGGCUCACCUAGGCGACGAUACAUAGCCGACCUGAGAGGGUGAUCGGCCACACUGGGAAUGAGACACGGCCCAGACUCCUACGGGAGGCAGCAGUAGGGAAUCUUCGGCAAUGGACGAAAGUCUGACCGAGCAACGCCGCGUGAGUGAAGAAGGUUUUCGGAUCGUAAAGCUCUGUUGUAAGAGAAGAACGGGUGUGAGAGUGGAAAGUUCACACUGUGACGGUAUCUUACCAGAAAGGGACGGCUAACUACGUG